UUGUCAUUUAACCAUGUUUGUUUAAUAUCAUGGAAUAAUUGGCCUUAUUUGUGAGCUGUUGGAUUCGGGGCCGUAGCACUGUCUGAGAGGUUUACAUUUCUCACAGUGAACCGGUCUCUUUUUCAGCUGCUUCCUGGCUUCUUUUUACUC
RNAcentral lists this microRNA precursor (150 nucleotides) under Sarcophilus harrisii (Tasmanian devil). Its description in RNAcentral is "microRNA sha-mir-128 precursor". Its record names the gene sha-mir-128. The stretch from base 53 to 133 matches the Rfam family "mir-128 microRNA precursor family". The record is from miRBase by way of RNAcentral. Lineage: Eukaryota; Metazoa; Chordata; Mammalia; Dasyuromorphia; Dasyuridae.